AUGGCGCCAUCCAUGAGUCUUGCUGCAAAAGGGCUGCUCCCCUUCGGAGCGCUCCCCUCGAGCGGCGUCGCGCAGAGGCCGGUGUCCGUGACCGCCUCCCUGGAGCACAAGCCGAACGAUUCUAAGAGGAAGCUCCUGAAGCUUGCGCUCGGAGGAGUCGGCCUGCCCGCCUUGCUGAGUGCCAACAAGGCUCUCGCCGAUGACCAGGGUGUGUCUUCCUCCAGGAUGUCCUACUCGAGGUUCCUCGAGUACCUCGACAAGGACAGGGUGAAGAAGGUCGACCUGUUUGAGAACGGGACGAUCGCUAUCGUGGAGGCCAUUUCUCCCGAGCUCGGCAACCGCGUGCAGAGGGUCCGUGUGCAGCUUCCCGGCCUCAGCCAGGAGCUUCUCCAGAAGUUAAGGGAGAAGAAUAUUGACUUUGCUGCGCACAACCAGCAGGAGGACUCUGGUAACCUCCUCUUCAACCUUAUCGGGAACUUGGCCUUCCCGCUUAUCCUUAUCGGCGGUCUGUUCUUGCUGUCGAGAAGAGGAGGGUCUGGUGGCAUGGGUGGACCCGGGGGGCCUGGCUUUCCUCUUGGUUUUGGCCAGUCCAAGGCCAAGUUCCAGAUGGAGCCCAACACCGGUGUUACGUUCGAUGAUGUUGCCGGUGUUGACGAAGCAAAGCAAGACUUCAUGGAAGUGGUUGAGUUCCUGAAGAAGCCAGAGAGGUUCACCGCCGUUGGUGCCCGCAUUCCCAAGGGUGUGCUGCUUGUUGGUCCUCCUGGAACUGGUAAGACUUUGCUUGCCAAGGCGAUCGCAGGAGAGGCUGGCGUGCCAUUCUUCUCGAUAUCGGGUUCUGAAUUCGUGGAGAUGUUUGUUGGUGUUGGUGCCUCCCGUGUUCGUGAUCUCUUCAAGAAGGCCAAGGAGAAUGCUCCUUGCAUAGUGUUCGUUGAUGAAAUUGAUGCAGUUGGGAGGCAAAGAGGAACAGGUAUCGGUGGUGGGAACGAUGAAAGGGAGCAGACUCUCAAUCAGCUACUGACUGAGAUGGAUGGUUUUGAGGGCAACACUGGCAUCAUUGUUGUUGCUGCCACCAACAGGGCUGACAUCUUGGAUUCCGCUUUGCUUAGACCUGGGCGCUUUGACAGACAGGUGAGUGUUGAUGUUCCUGAUGUACGUGGAAGGACAGAGAUUCUCAAGGUGCACGGUAGCAACAAGAAGUUUGAUGCUGAUGUUUCCCUUGAGGUCAUUGCAAUGAGAACACCUGGGUUCAGUGGAGCAGACCUGGCGAAUCUUCUGAAUGAGGCAGCCAUAUUAGCAGGCCGACGUGGGAGGACCGGAAUUUCCUCGAAGGAGAUUGAUGAUUCAAUUGACAGAAUAGUGGCUGGUAUGGAAGGAACUGUCAUGACAGAUGGGAAGAGCAAAAGCCUUGUUGCUUACCACGAAGUUGGCCAUGCAGUUUGCGGAACUUUGACGCCUGGCCACGACCCCGUCCAGAAGGUUACCUUGGUUCCAAGGGGUCAAGCCCGUGGUCUCACCUGGUUCAUUCCCAUGGAUGACCCAACACUCAUCUCUAGGCAGCAGCUCUUUGCCAGAAUCGUCGGCGGCCUUGGCGGCAGAGCUGCUGAGGAGAUCAUAUUCGGAGAUUCUGAGGUGACCACCGGAGCUGCCGGUGACCUGCAGCAGAUCACCGGCUUAGCCAAGCAGAUGGUGGUGACGUUCGGCAUGUCGGACAUCGGCCCGUGGUCUCUGAUGGACGCGGCGCAGAGCGGGGACGUGAUCAUGCGGAUGAUGGCCAGGAACUCCAUGUCGGAGAAACUGGCGCUGGACAUCGACUCGGCGGUGAAGCAGCUGUCGGACAAGGCCUAUGAGAUCGCCCUGCAGCAGGUGAGGGACAACCGCGUGGCCAUGGACAAGAUCGUGGAGGUGCUCCUGGAGAAGGAGACGCUGAGCGGUGACGAGUUCCGGGCCAUCCUGUCCGAGUUCACCGAGAUCCCCGUCGAGAACCGGGUGCCCCCGACGCCCCAGGCCGCCGUCCCGGUCUAG
RNAcentral lists this ribosomal RNA (2022 nucleotides) under Triticum aestivum (bread wheat). RNAcentral describes it as "partial small subunit ribosomal RNA". The record is from RNAcentral. Lineage: Eukaryota; Viridiplantae; Streptophyta; Magnoliopsida; Poales; Poaceae.